GUGGGGAAUAUUGGACAAUGGGCGAAAGCCUGAUCCAGCCAUGCCGCGUGUGUGAAGAAGGUCUUCGGAUUGUAAAGCACUUUAAGUUGGGAGGAAGGGCAGUAAGUUAAUACCUUGCUGUUUUGACGUUACCGACAGAAUAAGCACCGGCUAACUUCGUGCCAGCAGCCGCGGUAAUACGAAGGGUGCAAGCGUUAAUCGGAAUUACUGGGCGUAAAGCGCGCGUAGGUGGUUUUGUAAGUUGGAGGUGAAAUCCCCGGGCUCAACCUGGGAACUGACUCCAAAACUGCAUGACUAGAGUACGGUAGAGGGUAGUAGAAUUUCCUGUGGAGCGGUGAAAUGCGUAGAUAUAGGAAGGAACACCAGUGGCGAAGGCGACUACCUGGACUGAUACUGACACUGAGGUGCGAAAGCGUAGGGAGCAAACAGGAUUAGAAACCCCGGUAGUCC
This 450-nucleotide ribosomal RNA is filed under the name uncultured bacterium. RNAcentral describes it as "bacterial SSU rRNA". It matches the Rfam family "Bacterial small subunit ribosomal RNA", at positions 354 to 796 of the family's 1533-position model. The record is from RNAcentral.